RNAcentral lists this ribosomal RNA (496 nucleotides) under uncultured bacterium. RNAcentral's name for it is "partial 16S ribosomal RNA". It matches the Rfam family "Bacterial small subunit ribosomal RNA", at positions 30 to 523 of the family's 1533-position model. The record is from RNAcentral.
AUUGAACGCUGGCGGAAUGCUUUACACAUGCAAGUCGAACGGUAGAGGGGGCAACCCCUCGAGAGUGGCGAACGGGUGAGUAAUAUAUCGGAACGUGCCCAGUCGUGGGGGAUAACGUAGCGAAAGUUACGCUAAUACCGCAUACGAUCUAAGGAUGAAAGCGGGGGAUCGCAAGACCUCGCGCGAUUGUAGCGGCCGAUAUCAGAUUAGGUAGUUGGUGGGGUAGAGGCUCACCAAGCCAACGAUCUGUAGCUGGUCUGAGAGGACGACCAGCCACACUGGAACUGAGACACGGUCCAGACUCCUACGGGAGGCAGCAGUGGGGAAUUUUGGACAAUGGACGCAAGUCUGAUCCAGCCAUUCCGCGUGCAGGAUGAAGGCCCUCGGGUUGUAAACUGCUUUUGCACGGAACGAAAAGGUCUCUCUUAAUACGGGGGGCUCAUGACGGUACCGUAAGAAUAAGCACCGGCUAACUACGUGCCAGCCGCCGCAGUAA